This 76-nucleotide transfer RNA is filed under the name Nitrospira sp. RNAcentral's name for it is "tRNA-Cys". It matches the Rfam family "tRNA". Rfam says of the family: Transfer RNA (tRNA) molecules are approximately 80 nucleotides in length. Lineage: Bacteria; Pseudomonadati; Nitrospirota; Nitrospiria; Nitrospirales; Nitrospiraceae. RNAcentral also lists the same sequence under 1 other name. The record is from RNAcentral.
GGCGCCGUACCCAAGUGGCUAAGGGAGCAGUCUGCAAAACUGCGAUGCGGCGGUUCGAACCCGCACGGCGCCUCCA